UGUUCCCACUUUCAUGGGUGUGGUGAUUAGCUUGCUUGGUGAAAAAUUUUAGUCAAGUCCGAGCCGAUUCGCGCUCCUUUCUGACCCUUUAAACUGAUUACAUUCUCAUAAAAUUAACACGUCCUUUGGCAUUUUCCCUCACUGUUGGGACCAUGGUUGUCGUGUGAAAACAAAUCUGUGUGACUCCGACUGGAAGAACGGAGAGUGCUAAAAAGCCCAGUUUCAGGUGUCAGCUGGUAAAGUGUGUGGGUGUGUGAGUGUGAGUGUGCGUGUGCGUGUAGGCACGUGUGUUUUUCUCAGCCCAGUCUGUAUUUGGAGCGGAGCGUGGCCUGAACACACCACAGAGGGACAAUGAGCGAGCUGGAACAGUUGCGGCAGGAAGCCGAACAACUACGCAAUCAGAUCCGGGAUGCCAGGAAGGCCUGUAGUGACUCCACUCUGUCACAGGUAAGAGACUUUCUCUCCACAUUCA
Molecule: long non-coding RNA, 472 nt
Organism: Monopterus albus (swamp eel)
Lineage: Eukaryota; Metazoa; Chordata; Actinopteri; Synbranchiformes; Synbranchidae
Exons: 3
Source: RefSeq, a predicted model, not a curated record